GAGUUUGAUCGUGGCUCAGAUUGAACGCUGGCGGCAGGCCUAACACAUGCAAGUCGAGCGGAUGAAGGGAGCUUGCUCCUGGAUUCAGCGGCGGACGGGUGAGUAGUGCCUAGGAAUCUGCCUGGUAGUGGGGAUAACGUCCGGAAACGGGCGCUAAUACCGCAUACGUCCUGAGGGAGAAAGUGGGGGAUCUUCGGACCUCACGCUAUCAGAUGAGCCUAGGUCGGAUUAGCUAGUUGGUGGGUAAAGGCCUACCAAGGCGACGAUCCGUAACUGGUCUGAGAGGAUGAUCAGUCACACUGGAACUGAGACACGGUCCAGACUCCUACGGGAGGCAGCAGUGGGGAAUAUUGGACAAUGGGCGAAAGCCUGAUCCAGCCAUGCCGCGUGUGUGAGAAGGUCUUCGGAUUGUAAAGCACUUUAAGUUGGGAGGAAGGGUCAGUAAGUUAAUACCUUGCUGUUUUGACGUUACCAACAGAAUAAGCACCGGCUAACUUCGUGCCAGCCGCCGCGGU
RNAcentral lists this ribosomal RNA (515 nucleotides) under uncultured microorganism. Its description in RNAcentral is "bacterial SSU rRNA". It matches the Rfam family "Bacterial small subunit ribosomal RNA", at positions 9 to 521 of the family's 1533-position model. The record is from RNAcentral.